GAAAUAAAUACCGUAAAUACUAAAUUGCUCACCGGCCGAUUUUUCAACGGCGUAAAAUUUAACACCCGAAAGAUGGCGAUUAGAUUAUAAAUUAUUAUUAUAUUAAAUUAAAUAAAUUAACGUUUUCGUUGAUCAUCAUAAAGGUCGAGUGCAUUCGGGAAAAUCCGGUUCACCGCUACCUGUUACUAUGACUUAUUUUUAUCACCAGUUAAUACAUUUCUUAUCGGAUUUAUUUUCGUUUAAUUAAUUAUCAAUUUAUACUCGUUUCAUUUAUAAUUUUAGAUUCUGAGCGAGGCGAAGAACGGUUGAACAACGGUACAAUGAUAAUUUUUGCUUUUUUUCAUACUGUGUACAAAAUUUCUCCGAAGAAAAACUUGCUCUAAUCAGAAAAUGACAAGAGACGUUUUUUGUUGCGUUUUAGAUCUAGUUACUGAAGAACAAAGUAAUUUUUUGAUUUUCCAAGCAGUUUGCAUGCUUAUUAUCAACAAAAUCUGCAUAAAUUGUUUCAAAUAAGUCUGAAAACGUCCAUAAUUAGAUAAUAUUAUAUUUUGUAUAAAUAUAUGUAUAAUUGAAAAUCAUAAAAAAAA
This is a non-coding RNA of Cinara cedri, 587 nucleotides long. The record is from the annotation of a GenBank genome assembly. NCBI's taxonomy places the organism in Eukaryota, Metazoa, Arthropoda, Insecta, Hemiptera, Aphididae.